This is a long non-coding RNA of Gadus macrocephalus (Pacific cod), 404 nucleotides long. RefSeq lists it as uncharacterized. Lineage: Eukaryota; Metazoa; Chordata; Actinopteri; Gadiformes; Gadidae. The transcript has 3 exons. The record is from RefSeq and is a predicted model, not a curated record.
CCCCUUCGCUUUUGCCGUGAACGCGCCAUUACUUUAGUUUCACUAUUCACAUAAACGAUGUGACGCAGUAAGCUGUGGCAAAGCUCUACCUCUUUCUGAUCUGUCUGCCAUAAGGACCCAAGCAGCUCAAUCUUUACUUUCAGAACCUUUGUUAAUGUUCUGUCUCGCUUCUAAACACUUCUCUGUUAUUUGGUGAACACCUAAAUCUCUUUAUUCCCUCCUUUCCUUCCAUUUGUUAUUCUAUAUUUCCAUUCAACACGGGCAGCACACGUUUCGUCACGGAAAAGAUAAGGUCUCCAGUCUACUAUGGAUGAGGAGAGAGAGGAGGGGGCUCCUACCUCUAAAACCACUCUGUCUGGGAGACAUGGCCGCCAGAGCAAAGCUAAGAGCCCAGAGCAGCGGGC